AGAGUUUGAUCCUGGCUCAGAUUGAACGCUGGCGGCAGGCCUAACACAUGCAAGUCGAGCGGUAGAGAGAAGCUUGCUUCUCUUGAGAGCGGCGGACGGGUGAGUAAUACCUAGGAAUCUGCCUGAUAGUGGGGGAUAACGUUCGGAAACGGACGCUAAUACCGCAUACGUCCUACGGGAGAAAGCAGGGGACCUUCGGGCCUUGCGCUAUCAGAUGAGCCUAGGUCGGAUUAGCUAGUUGGUGAGGUAAUGGCUCACCAAGGCUACGAUCCGUAACUGGUCUGAGAGGAUGAUCAGUCACACUGGAACUGAGACACGGUCCAGACUCCUACGGGAGGCAGCAGUGGGGAAUAUUGGACAAUGGGCGAAAGCCUGAUCCAGCCAUGCCGCGUGUGUGAAGAAGGUCUUCGGAUUGUAAAGCACUUUAAGUUGGGAGGAAGGGCAUUAACCUAAUACGUUAGUGUUUUGACGUUACCGACAGAAUAAGCACCGGCUAACUCUGUGCCAGCAGCCGCGGUAAUACAGAGGGUGCAAGCGUUAAUCGGAAUUACUGGGCGUAAAGCGCGCGUAGGUGGUUUGUUAAGUUGAAUGUGAAAUCCCCGGGCUCAACCUGGGAACUGCAUCCAAAACUGGCAAGCUAGAGUAUGGUAGAGGGUAGUGGAAUUUCCUGUGUAGCGGUGAAAUGCGUAGAUAUAGGAAGGAACACCAGUGGCGAAGGCGACUACCUGGACUGAUACUGACACUGAGGUGCGAAAGCGUGGGGAGCAAACAGGAUUAGAUACCCUGGUAGUCCACGCCGUAAACGAUGUCAACUAGCCGUUGGGAGUCUUGAACUCUUAGUGGCGCAGCUAACGCAUUAAGUUGACCGCCUGGGGAGUACGGCCGCAAGGUUAAAACUCAAAUGAAUUGACGGGGGCCCGCACAAGCGGUGGAGCAUGUGGUUUAAUUCGAAGCAACGCGAAGAACCUUACCAGGUCUUGACAUCCUUUGAAGCUUUUAGAGAUAGAAGUGUUCUCUUCGGAGACAAAGUGACAGGUGGUGCAUGGUCGUCGUCAGCUCGUGUCGUGAGAUGUUGGGUUAAGUCCCGCAACGAGCGCAACCCUUAUUGUUAGUUGCCAGCAUUCAGAUGGGCACUCUAGCGAGACUGCCGGUGACAAACCGGAGGAAGGCGGGGACGACGUCAGAUCAUCAUGCCCCUUAUGACCUGGGCUACACACGUGCUACAAUGGCGUAUACAACGAGUUGCCAACCUGUGAAGGUGAGCUAAUCUCUUAAAGUACGUCUCAGUUCGGACUGCAGUCUGCAACUCGACUGCACGAAGUCGGAAUCGCUAGUAAUCGCGGAUCAGCACGCCGCGGUGAAUACGUUCCCGGGUCUUGCACUCACCGCCCGUCA
This 1395-nucleotide ribosomal RNA is filed under the name uncultured bacterium. Its description in RNAcentral is "bacterial SSU rRNA". It matches the Rfam family "Bacterial small subunit ribosomal RNA". The record is from RNAcentral.